Molecule: long non-coding RNA, 1549 nt
Organism: Ostrea edulis (European flat oyster)
Lineage: Eukaryota; Metazoa; Mollusca; Bivalvia; Ostreida; Ostreidae
Exons: 3
Source: RefSeq, a predicted model, not a curated record
ACACUAUCCAACCCGAGGAAACAAAAAUAUUAAUUUCCCCCAAUUGAGGCAGUACAUAAUUAGGCCAGGUAUAUCUUAUCAAUUACAAAUAGGUAUGUAAUAAUCAGUAUUAUCAUUCAGCGAGGAUUUGUAUCAUCGUGAACUACAUCAUUUCUAACGUCAUCCAGUGAAACGGACAACCAUACUUAGCAAUGUAAACUACAUUGUCUUAUAUCUCAGCAUAAAUGUUACUGUUUGGAUUAUUUCUCGCUAUUGUGGUCCCAUUGGGUGUUUCUGUGUGUGUGUACUUCACAAGGAAUCGGAGUAAAUCAGUCCAAGAGAAUGAAUUACCGUCCUCAUCAGCACUUGAUCAUCGAAACAACAAACGAACGACAAGACAAAUGGCUCUUCCCAGUUUAAAAAAUAUGAAAGAAGACUUCUACGAAUCGACAACAUGCGAAUAUGGAGAACCGGAGUUUACCGUGAAAAAACAAAGCGAUUUCAGAAGAGCUUCAGCUGCUCCGUCUUCAGUGUAUACCUCCCCAGUCCCAACUCACGCCAAUAUCUCGCGAGAUUCAUCGUACGAAUUGAGUACCCAAACAAAUGAAACAGAACAUAUAUAUCGAGGACUUUUUGUCGAAAGCUUGGAGUUAACAGCCAGCACAAGGAGUGAUCAUGUUUAUGCUGAUGCAGAUUAGAUAAUUUAGCCAGCCUUAUCAUAAUCAUUAUUUCAUUAUUCCGCUAGAAAUGUGUUUGUCUUCACUUAUACUUGACAUGGUAUACAAUGUAUUUUCAAUUAAGUUUAGUUUGACCAAUCAUUAAACUUGUAUCAUGUAUUUAUCACCAAACUUUGAUGUACAUGUAACACUUUAUGUUUUCCUAAAAUCUGGUGCGAUAAUAAAUUCACGCUACAAGUUCCUGAGUUGACGCGGGUCAACAAUUGUAAAGCCGCCAAAUAUAAAUACUGCCAAAAUAUUUACAUAACGUGGUUUGGAGGGGGUUUCUAAUCACAUAGAUUAGCCUUCAUUGGUCAUCCUAGGUAUGUUAAUUGUUGGGGACUAUUCGUAGUGCAAAUUGGCUAACAAUUUUAAGGUAAUUCCACCCCUCUAGAAGUAUAGAUUGAAUCUUAUAUUUGAUUGUUGAUUCUUCAAAUGAUAUAUCUUAGUAGCAAAUAGAUAUGAUAAAAUAAGUAUGUUGCGGUAUUAAUAAUUCUUUUUAUCAAUUAGCACACAUAUACCUGUAUCUACGUCAGAAAAUUGCAAUUUUCCUUAAGCAGCAUUAUCAAAAAAAACUGGUUGAAACGAUAAAAUAGUAUUCAUAACAAUUUCAUGAAACAGUUUCUUUAAAAAAUAUACAAAAUGUUUGUGAAAAAUAAAGGAAAUCUAUCACAUAAUGGAUUAAAUUUUAAUGAAAACAGGGUUAUUGCCCUUAGAUUCAAAAAUUGAUUAUUCACAUAUAACUUAGACUUUUGAAAUAUAUGAUUAACAAGAUUUUUUACAAUAACAAUUGAAAAAGACUCCAACAAAUGUUAUGUUUCUGUCAUGUAUAAAUCUUAUUAAAUUAUUGACUU